Molecule: unclassified non-coding RNA, 253 nt
Filed under: uncultured Hymenobacteraceae bacterium
Lineage: Bacteria; Pseudomonadati; Bacteroidota; Cytophagia; Cytophagales; Hymenobacteraceae
Description: contains 16S-23S intergenic spacer region
Rfam family: Bacterial small subunit ribosomal RNA
Source: RNAcentral
UACGUAGGUGGCAAGCGUUGUCCGGAAUUAUUGGGUUUAAAGGGUGCGUAGGCGGCCCGUUAAGUCAGCGGUGAAAUCCCAGGGCUCAACCCUGGAACUGCCGUUGAUACUGGCGGGCUUGAGUUCGGUCGAGGCGGGCGGAACUGGUGGUGUAGCGGUGAAAUGCAUAGAUACCACCAAGAACCCCGAUUGCGAAGGCAGCUCGCUGGCCCGAAACUGACGCUGAGGCACGAAAGCGUGGGGAGCGAACAGG